This 385-nucleotide ribosomal RNA is filed under the name uncultured bacterium. RNAcentral's name for it is "bacterial SSU rRNA". It matches the Rfam family "Bacterial small subunit ribosomal RNA", at positions 66 to 496 of the family's 1533-position model. The record is from RNAcentral.
ACGAGGUCUUCGGACCUAGUGGCGCACGGGUGAGUAACAUGUGGGAAUCUACCUGAAGGUUCGGAAUAACUGCGGGAAACUGUAGCUAAUACCGGAUGUGUCUGCAAAGAGAAAGAUUUAUCGCCUUCAGAUGAGCCCGCAUUAGAUUAGCUAGUUGGUGAGGUAAUUGCUCCACCAAGGCUACGAUCUAUAGCUGAUUUGAGAGGAUGAUCAGCCACACUGGGACUGAGACACGGCCCAGACUCCUACGGGAGGCAGCAGUAGGGAAUAUUGGACAAUGGGGGAAACCCUGAUCCAGCAAUGCCGCGUGAGUGAAGAAGGCCUUCGGGUUGUAAAACUCUUUCAUCAAUGACGAUAAUGACAUUAAUUGAAGAAGAAGCCCCGG